This 349-nucleotide unclassified non-coding RNA is filed under the name soil metagenome. Its description in RNAcentral is "partial contains 5.8S ribosomal RNA, internal transcribed spacer 2, and large subunit ribosomal RNA". The stretch from base 1 to 120 matches the Rfam family "5.8S ribosomal RNA", at positions 35 to 154 of the family's 154-position model. The record is from RNAcentral.
GAUGAAGAACGUAGCGAAAUGCGAUAACUAAUGUGAAUUGCAGAAUUCCGUGAAUCAUCGAGUCUUUGAACGCACAUUGCGCCCCCUGGUAUUCCGGGGGGCAUGCCUGUCCGAGCGUCAUUGCUGCCCAUCAAGCACGGCUUGUGUGUUGGGUCCUCGUCCCCCCCGGGGGACGUGCCCGAAAGGCAGCGGCGGCACCGCGUCCGGUCCUCGAGCGUAUGGGGCUUUGUCACCCGCUCUGCAGGCCCGGCCGGCGCUGGCCGACGCGAAAGCAACCAUUUUUUCUCCAGGUUGACCUCGGAUCAGGUAGGGAUACCCGCUGACCUUAAGCAUAUCAAUAAGCGGAGGA